This 1256-nucleotide long non-coding RNA is filed under the name Mus pahari (shrew mouse). Its description in RNAcentral is "predicted gene 44707 (MGP_PahariEiJ_G0004078.1)". The record is from RNAcentral. Lineage: Eukaryota; Metazoa; Chordata; Mammalia; Rodentia; Muridae.
UGUGCAGCAAACACCUUAUCUGCUGCGCCAUCUCUCCAGCCCUGGGUUUGGUUUCCGGUUCAGAGGGAACUGGUUUUCCCAACACCAUUUAUUAAGCAUCCUGCGUUUCCUCUGUCCAUCUGGGCUGCUGUUGUAACUCAUGUUAACUCCUAGACUUACACAUCCACCUGUCUGAGUCUCCUCUCCCAUGUUGCUCUUGGGCCCACUUGGUGAUAAGCUCUCCCUUGCUCUGAACAUCCCUCCUGUUUGUCACAGUGCCGUGAUAUGUCCUAGGUAAACUUGCUAUUGCGCCACCACAGCCCUAUGCUCCUCCGUCUUACAACACCGUGCAGGAAGGCAAGAAUCUUCUCCGCCCUUGAUAUUAAGGGACUGCUCACAGACGCCUGCCUCCUCCCAGCUCUGGAACCAGCGUCUGCAUGGAAAAAGACACAUCCUCCUGUGAGAAAAGAAAGUCAGAGCUGCCAAGAAAAUGAGUGUUAGCUCAGCUUCCUCCUUCUGGAAGCUUCUUUUCCCACACCCACCCCUCUGGAUCAGCUCAAACAACUAAAGACAGUAUCUUGACACUUGCAGUUUAUUUUCCCUGCUCCAAGUUGAGAUGGGAGAAACGCAUGUAAACUGGAGCAAGAAGGAAAUUCCUGAGAGGGUGGGCUACAACCGGCUUGCUGUCCGGUCACCAUUUGGUGACUUUGUUCUUGUGAUUUAAGCGACAAGGUCUCAUGUAUCCCAAGCUUGCUUUGAACUCUCUAUGUAGCCAACAAGGACCUUGAAAUUCAGAGCCUCCUGCUCCUGGCUCCAAACCCUGGAUUACAGCAUCCAGUGCCACUCCCUGUUUACCUCUCAUGAGUGGAGUGCUAGCUAAGUACUCCACCAACCCAGCUACACCCACAGUGGUUUUGUUUGUGUUCGCUACUGAGAUAGGUUCUCGCUAAGAAGCCCAGGCUGGCCUUAGUCUCCAGAUUCUCCCUGCCUAAGUCUCCUAGUUCAGGAAUUAUAAGUGUCAACCACUACUCUCAGCUCCCUUUCCCUUCUUUUUGCUUAAAAAUUAAAAAAAAAAAAAAUUAAAAAAAAAAAAUCAGUGCUGAUGGUGGGAGAAGGGCUGGCAAGAUGGCUCAACCCGUAAAGGUGACUGCCCCUAAGCCUGACAGCCUGAGUUCAGUCUUCAGGACCCACAGGGUAGAAAUGGGAAAAAAAAAAAAAAAAAAGUCCUGCAAAUCGUUCUCAGAACAGGCCGUGACGUGCACUUGCCUCUUCAUGCC